GGGGGGGGGGGGGGGGGGGGGGGGGGGGGGGGGGGGGGGGGGGGGGGGGGGGGGGGGGGGGCUGGGGGGGCGCGCGGGGGGGUACCGCGGGGGUAGCCGGGCCUGGGCGUCGGGGUCACGUGGGGACACUGGGGCUCAUCCCGGGUCUGGAUCCUUGGGCCGGGGUGGGGGGUGGAGCACUGCGGCGGUUUUGGAUGGACUCGCGGCUUUGCAGCUGGUUGGGGGGGUAGUGGCUUACCAAGGCUUUGACGGGUAGCGGGCCUGGGAGGGCGACCGGCCACAGUGGGACUGAGAUACGGCCCAGACUCCUGCGGGAGGCAGCAGUGGGGAAUAGUGCACAAUGGGCGGAAGCCUGAUGCAGCAACGCCGCGGGCGGGAUGACGGCCUUCGGGUUGUAAAGCGCUUUCAGCAGGGGCGAAGCUGGUGGUGACGGUACCUGCAGAAGAAGCACCGGCUAACUACGUG
This 465-nucleotide ribosomal RNA is filed under the name uncultured bacterium. RNAcentral's name for it is "partial 16S ribosomal RNA". The stretch from base 54 to 465 matches the Rfam family "Bacterial small subunit ribosomal RNA", at positions 39 to 507 of the family's 1533-position model. The record is from RNAcentral.